GAUUGGCUGCCUUAGACUAUGGCGGCCGUUAUGGGAACGACGACCCGGACAGCUAUCUAGAAUGAUUGACCGGGAAAUAGUCAGCAUAAGGAGGCCAGAAGAACAGUCACUUACCCACACCACCAGGACUUACCCACACCACCAGGACGCAGCCACAAGGGCAGGACUUCGACAUCCUUUAUGCAUGCAUUUGUGCAGUAAAUUUGAGUUUAUUGCA
Haliotis rufescens (red abalone) is the source of this 217-nucleotide long non-coding RNA. RefSeq lists it as uncharacterized. The record is from RefSeq and is a predicted model, not a curated record. NCBI's taxonomy places the organism in Eukaryota, Metazoa, Mollusca, Gastropoda, Lepetellida, Haliotidae. The transcript has 3 exons.